AAAUUUUUUAUUUAUAAAGUUUGAUACUUGCUUUAUGUAUUAUUUAAAAAUAAUUUUACAUGUAAGUUAUUGCGUGUUUAUUUUAUCCUAAAUGGAUUUAAUAUUAUUUUCAGUAUUUAAUUUUAAUUAUAUUAAAGAAAUUUAUAUUUAGUUAAUUUUUAUAGUUUUGACAAAUCUUGUGCCAGCAGUCGCGGUUAUACAAUAAGUGCAAAUAAUAUUUAUUGGUUUAUAUUUAUUAUAUUUUUUUUAAUUUAAAACUAAUUUUAUUAGGUGAAAUUUUAAUUUUAUUUUAAAUUUUGGUUUAAUAUAAUAUAUGAAAAUUAAAAUUAAAACUAGGAUUAGAUACCCUAUUAUUUUGAUUGUAAAUUUAUAACCUUAGUAUUAAUAGUUAUGUUCUUAAAAUUAAAAGUAUUUGGCGGUAAUUUAAUCUUUCCAGAGGAACCUGUCUUUUAAUUGAUAAUCCACGUUAAAUUCUACUUUGAUUAAAGCUUGUAUACCUCUGUCAUUGAAUGUCUUAUUAGGGUAUUUUCUAAAAUUUUUAUAGAAUUUAAUGUUAGGUCAAGGUGCAGCUAUAUUAAAGUAUUGAUGGGUUACAUUAAUUUUAUUUGUGGAUUUUUUAUGUAAAUACUUAUUUAAAUUGGAUUUGGAAGUAAUUUUUAUUAUAAUAUAAUUUUGAUUUUGGCUCUAAGUUAUGUACAUAUCGCCCGUCGCUCUCAUUAUUAAGGUGAGAUAAGUCGUAACAAAGUAGGCCUACUGGAAGGUGGGCCUGGUAAUAA
RNAcentral lists this non-coding RNA (776 nucleotides) under Stictopleurus subviridis. The record is from RNAcentral. Lineage: Eukaryota; Metazoa; Arthropoda; Insecta; Hemiptera; Rhopalidae.